This is a non-coding RNA of Oryza meridionalis, 191 nucleotides long. The record is from Rfam. NCBI's taxonomy places the organism in Eukaryota, Viridiplantae, Streptophyta, Magnoliopsida, Poales, Poaceae.
UUUAAGCACAACCAUAAAUUUCCGUGCCCAACUUUGAUUAUCCGUCUUAUUUGAAAUAGUUUUAUAAUUAGUAUUUAUUAUUAUGAGAUGAUAAAAUAUGAAUAGUAACUUAUGUUUUUAAAAUUUUUUAAAAAGUUUUUAAAUAAAAUGAACAGUUAAAGUUGUAAACGAAAAAUCAGAGUGCACUUAAA